AAACAGGUAUCAGCUGAUCGUGUUAGCUCAUCCCGAUAGUAAAUCGUUAUGGGCCGAUAACUUCCACAUCAUAUUACUGUUGGAAUGGAAUGAAAGGAGGGGACCACUUGCUAAGGGUGUCGGUAUGCUUUUUGUUCCUUGCCAUUUGAUCUGUUAAAAAAUCAUCUCUGUUAAAAAAAAAUGAAUUACAGAAUAGUCAAUUUCAUUUUAUGUUCUGAAAAAAAUAAUUUUUUUGAAAUAAUUAAAAAUAAUUCAGAGACCUGAAGUUGUUGAUAGUGCCUAUAAGGGAGAGGAUUGACAUGUAACUUAAGCUCAGUGUGAUAUUUAUCAUUUUGCUGAUUUCCUUUUACAGAAAUUGCUUAUUGAUGUAAAGUUGCCAUACUCAAAUAAUAAAUAUCCUUCCAAGUUUUUUAAA
Penaeus indicus is the source of this 415-nucleotide long non-coding RNA. RefSeq lists it as uncharacterized. The transcript has 2 exons. NCBI's taxonomy places the organism in Eukaryota, Metazoa, Arthropoda, Malacostraca, Decapoda, Penaeidae. The record is from RefSeq and is a predicted model, not a curated record.